GUGAGCGAUGCCGAAGCGGUCGAGGCAUCAGUGUGUGGAACUGAAGAAAGCGGGUUCGAGUCCCGUCGCCCACCCCA
Molecule: transfer RNA, 77 nt
Filed under: Nocardia uniformis
Lineage: Bacteria; Bacillati; Actinomycetota; Actinomycetes; Mycobacteriales; Nocardiaceae
Description: tRNA-His
Rfam family: tRNA
About the family: Transfer RNA (tRNA) molecules are approximately 80 nucleotides in length. Their secondary structure includes four short double-helical elements and three loops (D, anti-codon, and T loops).
Source: RNAcentral